This 1205-nucleotide ribosomal RNA is filed under the name Salmonella enterica subsp. enterica serovar Virchow. RNAcentral's name for it is "partial 23S ribosomal RNA". It matches the Rfam family "Bacterial large subunit ribosomal RNA", at positions 161 to 1302 of the family's 2925-position model. The record is from RNAcentral. Lineage: Bacteria; Pseudomonadati; Pseudomonadota; Gammaproteobacteria; Enterobacterales; Enterobacteriaceae.
AAUCCAUAGGUUAAUGAGGCGAACCGGGGGAACUGAAACAUCUAAGUACCCCGAGGAAAAGAAAUCAACCGAGAUUCCCCCAGUAGCGGCGAGCGAACGGGGAGGAGCCCAGAGCCUGAAUCAGCAUGUGUGUUAGUGGAAGCGUCUGGAAAGGCGCGCGAUACAGGGUGACAGCCCCGUACACAAAAGCGCAUGUGCUGUGAGCUCGAUGAGUAGGGCGGGACACGUGGUAUCCUGUCUGAAUAUGGGGGGACCAUCCUCCAAGGCUAAAUACUCCUGACUGACCGAUAGUGAACCAGUACCGUGAGGGAAAGGCGAAAAGAACCCCGGCGAGGGGAGUGAAAAAGAACCUGAAACCGUGUACGUACAAGCAGUGGGAGCCCCACCACCAAAGCAUUCUCUGGUGUUGAAGGCCCUGCAAAGCAGCAUCGCGGUGGCGGAGCGUCGUUUGCGACGCCCAACACACAAAACAAGCGGUGAGUGCUUUGGGGUGGGGUGACUGCGUACCUUUUGUAUAAUGGGUCAGCGACUUAUAUUCUGUAGCAAGGUUAACCGAAUAGGGGAGCCGGAGGGAAACCGAGUCUUAAUUGGGCGUUAAGUUGCAGGGUAUAGACCCGAAACCCGGUGAUCUAGCCAUGGGCAGGUUGAAGGUUGGGUAACACUAACUGGAGGACCGAACCGACUAAUGUUGAAAAAUUAGCGGAUGACCUGUGGCUGGGGGUGAAAGGCCAAUCAAACCGGGAGAUAGCUGGUUCUCCCCGAAAGCUAUUUAGGUAGCGCCUCGUGAAUUCAUCUCCGGGGGUAGAGCACUGUUUCGGCUAGGGGGCCAUCCCGGCUUACCAACCCGAUGCAAACUGCGAAUACCGGAGAAUGUUAUCACGGGAGACACACGGCGGGUGCUAACGUCCGUCGUGAAGAGGGAAACAACCCAGACCGCCAGCUAAGGUCCCAAAGUCAUGGUUAAGUGGGAAACGAUGUGGGAAGGCCCAGACAGCCAGGAUGUUGGCUUAGAAGCAGCCAUCAUUUAAAGAAAGCGUAAUAGCUCACUGGUCGAGUCGGCCUGCGCGGAAGAUGUAACGGGGCUAAACCAUGCACCGAAGCUGCGGCAGCGACACUCAGGUGUUGUUGGGUAGGGGAGCGUUCUGUAAGCCUGUGAAGGUGGCCUGUGAGGGUUGCUGGAGGUAUCAGAAGUGCGAAUGCUGACA